RNAcentral lists this non-coding RNA (45 nucleotides) under Schistosoma haematobium. The record is from RNAcentral. Lineage: Eukaryota; Metazoa; Platyhelminthes; Trematoda; Strigeidida; Schistosomatidae. RNAcentral also lists the same sequence under 1 other name.
AUCCAUCUGAUGAAUCCCGAAUAGGACGAAACGCGCAUCCUGGAU